UCGAUCGUGGUAUUAGUCACCCAUCCCACUUCAUAAAGCAUGAGCAUAAAGUGGUUAAUCAAAGCAGUGUGUGCAUGUACUGUGUCCGCUGGCUCAUCCUGUGCAACGAUUCUAAUAGCAAGAUAUGUGACCACUGAGGAAGUUGGGUUCCGCGAUCAAAUAGCCCAACACAAUUAGGACCCAACCCACGUAUCAUUCCAAAGUACGUGGGCCUCCUCAAGAUAGGAAUGAUAUAGGGCAGAUCUUUUAGUGUUUUAUUACGUGCUUUACAUAGUAGUGUUGUUACGCCUCCGAUCUGAAAUUAUGAAUCGAAGGUCAUGACAACCACCGCAUACUUAUAGAAAAUUCUUCCCAUAAGCAUGCAAGGCAUCUUAUCAUGCUAUCCUAAAACAACAACGAAAUAAUUAGAUAAUAAUUUAAAUCUAAAAUAUAACGACCUAAAUUUAUUCUUUAAUGUCUCAAUAAAUUCAACAAUGAUUUAUAGUCCUUACAUCAAAUUCAAUAAGACUUUCAACCGAAAAUAAAAGUAUAGAGAUUCUGCUUCUGAUCACUCUUCCAUUCAUAUCUUGCAUCAUCUUAAUUUCUCAACAUCUGUAAAAACAGUAAAAUAAGAGGUAAUGAGCUAGACAGCUCAGUAAGCAAUGAUCACUUCUCAAUAUAUUUCAUCAGGCAUUUAAGUAAAUAAUUAUUUAUAGAAAAUAAGCAUAUAGAGUUCAUCAAUUUGAAAUCAAUUUCAAUUAUGCAACAUAAUUUAUGCCAAAUUUAUUUCUUUUUCGAAAAUUCAAGUUUCUUUUCAGAUUUUAAUUUCUUUCGUUCUUAAAUUUUUUUCAUCAACCAUGAGCUAUGACC
This 849-nucleotide long non-coding RNA is filed under the name Elaeis guineensis (African oil palm). RNAcentral's name for it is "long non-coding RNA (EGUI_LNC071837)". The record is from RNAcentral. Lineage: Eukaryota; Viridiplantae; Streptophyta; Magnoliopsida; Arecales; Arecaceae.